RNAcentral lists this microRNA precursor (204 nucleotides) under Oryza brachyantha (malo sina). RNAcentral describes it as "MIR812 microRNA precursor family". It matches the Rfam family "MIR812 microRNA precursor family". The record is from Rfam by way of RNAcentral. Lineage: Eukaryota; Viridiplantae; Streptophyta; Magnoliopsida; Poales; Poaceae.
AAUAAGAUCAUUAUUCGGUUUUUUGAUACAAUGUUUUGACUCUUUAUCUUAUUUAAAUUUUUUUAUUAAUAUUUUUAUUCUUAUUAGAUGAUAAAACAUAAAUAGUACUUUAUGCGUGACUAAUUUUUUUAAGUUUUUAAACAAAUUUCUCAUAUAAGACGAAUGGUCAAAUGUUGGACACGGAAGAACGUAAAUAAAGUUAUU